Molecule: ribosomal RNA, 253 nt
Filed under: uncultured bacterium
Lineage: Bacteria
Description: partial 16S ribosomal RNA
Rfam family: Bacterial small subunit ribosomal RNA
Source: RNAcentral
UACGAAGGGGGCGAGCGUUGUUCGGAUUUACUGGGCGUAAAGGGCGCGCAGGCGGCUUUGUAAGUUAGAGGUGAAAGCCCGGGGCUCAACUCCGGAAUUGCCUUUAAGACUGCAUCGCUAGAAUUGUGGAGAGGUAAGUGGAAUUCCGAGUGUAGAGGUGAAAUUCGUAGAUAUUCGGAAGAACACCAGUGGCGAAGGCGACUUACUGGACACAUAUUGACGCUGAGGUGCGAAAGCGUGGGGAGCAAACAGG